This is a non-coding RNA of Cyanistes caeruleus (blue tit), 2847 nucleotides long. The record is from RefSeq and is a predicted model, not a curated record. NCBI's taxonomy places the organism in Eukaryota, Metazoa, Chordata, Aves, Passeriformes, Paridae.
CCACCUGGGAGUCCAUUCUUUUUCUUAUUUUCAUUUAGAAUGUAGACAGCCCUGAUUAAAGGUCCCUAUGAGACACCAUUCAAAUCAAUACUAUUCUUCUCCACCCUAAUUAAUCACAAGUGGAGUGCUACUUAGUAAUCACUGAAAAAUAAUUAUGGAAGUCCAUAAAUUAUCCAACUUAGCUGGCAACACUGCUGAAACACAAAGUUUUUCUUCUUACCUUUUUUUUGUUCCUUUGCUCCAUUGUCCUGAGUAAUUGUAGCAGAAAAGAAAACAUUGUUUUUUCCCAAAGAGUUUUCUUCUACGCAGAGCUCCUUACCUCAAAUUUAACUCAGAGGAGCCAAACAGCUACGGUCCCUCUGAGGGCCUUUAUACCCGGUGGGAUUUGCCGCCUCCCCUUUCCCAGGCAUCGUGGGAAAAAGAGGAGGGCCCAAUUAGGGGUAUAUUAACCCCAGGCUGUGCUAAGGGGCAUUAUUCCUUCCAGGGGAAUCAGCAGGGGAGAAUUUCCAGAAGUUCUAGGUCACAUCAAGUGCGAUACUUCAGAUUCUCUCAGCAGAUUCAUCGUAACACAAAAGGGAACCGCCCCCGCGGCAGCUUUCCUUAGCAGCGGAUCGUCCCCUCGCACAGAUUCUCUUCAGAGAGAUAAGACGAGGGCUGUGGUCACAGAGGGGAUAAAAACAGGGCGGUGGGGUAGGAUUCACACCGGUUAGGGGUUUUGAGUCAGCUAUGCGGGGGGGAAGGUUUGAGAAAUGGCCUCUGGGGCCACAGUGCGGGAAAGGCUCACUUUAGCUAACAAUGCUGAGGCGGGCAGGGCAGAGCAGUCCCAGGGUGUGUUGUCACUUGUCUCUUGUGCUUUCUGUAUCUUCUGUACAUCUCAUGUAACAUAUCUCUUGUCUUAGCCCUCCCAGGAGCUUAUAAGAAACCCCAGGUCCUUCCGUUCAUCUCCCAUCUUUGCGUUCCUCGGCCCGGCACCGGCGAAGCUUCUAUGCGGGAGUUCGGACAGGCGUCAGAAUCGCAUCUGUCUUUAGAAGCAUGCGAUCGGAUGUUUUCUUAGGUCUCGUUCUCAGCUGUGUCAACAGCUAUAUGCAGCAGUGCUUCUUUACAGGGGGUAAGGACUUGUGCCGAUUCAAAGGCAGGCAGAGGCUUCCAGCCACAGGAUUCUCGGGCAUCCGUCUCUGCGGUUCUUGGAAAAUAGUUGUUCCGUUAGCAUCUUUUUCCUCCAGGGUCAUCCGAGCCCGGCAGGCUCGCCUGGGGUCCCUCCUCGGUCAUCUCGUUCAGCAUUCUCUCGGUCCUCGUGAGGACUUUCUUGUCUCAGAGAGUUUUCUCUCCCUGUCACGUCCCCUUGUCUCACGGGUGUCUGGGGGUAUUUGGUCCGGAGCUGCUCUGCCCUGGCGCCCAGCCUGGUUGUAGGUGUUUAAGGACAAGUCCCGGGCACUUGUAAUUGGAGAUUUGUAAUACGGGCUGUAGUUGGAGUCUAGCUGGUAUUCUUAUGUUGGCAGCAGGUGUCUGGAGCUGUGAAGUUACCCUGCAGCACUUUGACUUUUUUCCUAACUUUCUUUCAGAUGCAGACGGAUUGACCUCGUGGCAGAGCGCUGCAUCCCAGAUGAGGGGGUCCCCCUGAGAAGGAAGUAAAGCUGGAAAGCAGCGGGGAAGGUGAAGCAGGUGGAAGGCUGCCUCCUGAUGCUGUGCUGAGGCCCCCUCACUGACCUGCCAAGAGACCCGGUUUGCUCCUCUGGUGAGCCCCAGCAAAUAUUACCGGAGUCCAUGACGAAGCCUCGACCUCGUCCACGUGUCGGCGUACCCUGCGACGACGGCAUCCGCCUAGGAGCGUGGCCGGAGGACCCGGGAGUUCCUAAGAGACGGUGAUGAUACUUGUCUGAGACAACAGCCUGGUGAGAGAAGAACUUCCCAGACAGCGAGGUGGCUUUGUUUGGCUCCCGACCGGCCUCUCGCUGUGACUCACAUCUUCAGCCCUCUGAGAGAUAAGUGGAGCCCGCAGAGGGGAUCAAAGCAGGGCGGUGGGUCGGGACUCGGAUCGGUUUGGGUUUUUGAGUGAGCUUUGGGGAUGGGGAGGUUCUGGAAAUGACCCCAUAGGCCCCAGUGAGGGAAAGCCUCACUUUGGUUUGCAAUGCUGAGGCGAACAGGGCAGAGCAGUCCCAGGGUGUGUUGUCACUUGUCUCUCAUGCCUUCUUUGUCUUCUGUGCAUCUCGUGUAACAUGUCUCUUGCCUUAGCCCUCCCAGGAGCUUAUGAGAAACCCCAGGUCCUUCCGUUCAUCUCCCAUCUUUGCGUUCCUCGGCCCGGCGCCGGCGAAGCUUCGAUGCGGGAGGUCGGACAGGCGUCAGAAUCGCAUCUGUCUUUAGAAGCAUGCGAUCGGAUGUUUUCUUAGGUCUCGUUCUCAGCUGUGUCAACAGCUAUAUGCAGCAGUGUUUCUUUACAGUGGAUAAGGACUUGUGCCGAUUCAAAGGCAGGCAGAGGCUUCCAGCCACAGGAUUCUCAGGCAUCUGUCUCUGCGGUUCUUGGAAAAUAGUUGUUCCAUUAGCAUCUUUUUCCUCCAGGGCCAUCCGAGCCCGGCAGGCUCGCCUGGGGUCCCUCCUCGGUCAUCUCGUUCAGCAUUCUCUCGGUCCUUGUGAGGACUUUCUUGUCUCAGAGAGUUUUCUCUCCCUGUCACGUCCCCUCGUCUCACGUGUCACGGGUGUCUGGGGGUAUUUGGUCCGGAGCUGCUCUGCCCUGGCGCCCAGCCUGGUUGUAGGUGUUUAAGGACAAGUCCCGGGCACUUGUAAUUGGAGAUUUGUAAUACGGGCUGUAGUUGGAGUCUAGCUGGUAUUCUUAUGUUGGCAGCAGGUGUC